GACGAACGCUGGCGGCGUGCUUAACACAUGCAAGUCGAACGGAAAGGCCCUGCUUGCAGGGUACUCGAGUGGCGAACGGGUGAGUAACACGUGGGUGAUCUGCCCUGCACUUCGGGAUAAGCCUGGGAAACUGGGUCUAAUACCGGAUAGGAGCCAUUUUUAGUGUGAUGGUUGGAAAGUUUUUUCGGUGUAGGAUGAGCUCGCGGCCUAUCAGCUUGUUGGUGGGGUAAUGGCCUACCAAGGCGGCGACGGGUAGCCGGCCUGAGAGGGUGGACGGCCACAGUGGGACUGAGAUACGGCCCAGACUCCUACGGGAGGCAGCAGUGGGGAAGAUUGCACAAUGGGCGCAAGCCUGAUGCAGCGACGCCGCGUGGGGGAUGACGGCCUUCGGGUUGUAAACUCCUUUCGCUAGGGACGAAGCUUUUUGUGACGGUACCUAGAUAAGAAGCACCGGCUAACUACGUG
Molecule: ribosomal RNA, 465 nt
Filed under: uncultured bacterium
Lineage: Bacteria
Description: partial 16S ribosomal RNA
Rfam family: Bacterial small subunit ribosomal RNA
Source: RNAcentral